This 21-nucleotide microRNA is filed under the name Prunus persica (peach). Its description in RNAcentral is "microRNA miRNA_213". The record is from RNAcentral. Lineage: Eukaryota; Viridiplantae; Streptophyta; Magnoliopsida; Rosales; Rosaceae.
UCUAAGCCUACUGUCUUUCCC